AUACGAAGGGUGCAAGCGUUACUCGGAAUUACUGGGCGUAAAGCGUGCGUAGGUGGUUGUUUAAGUCUGUCGUGAAAGCCCUGGGCUCAACCUGGGAAUGGCGAUGGAAACUGGGCGACUAGAGUGUGGCAGAGGGUAGUGGAAUUCCUGGUGUAGCAGUGAAAUGCGUAGAGAUCAGGAGGAACAUCCGUGGCGAAGGCGACUGCCUGGGCCAACACUGACACUGAGGCACGAAAGCGUGGGGAGCAAACAGGAUUAGAUACCCUGGUAGUCCACGCCCUAAACGAUGCGAACUGGAUGUUGGGUGCAAUUUGGCACGCAGUAUCGAAGCUAACGCGUUAAGUUCGCCACCUGGGGAGUACGGUCGCAAGACUGAAACUCAAAUGAAUUGACGGGG
RNAcentral lists this ribosomal RNA (397 nucleotides) under uncultured bacterium. RNAcentral describes it as "partial 16S ribosomal RNA". It matches the Rfam family "Bacterial small subunit ribosomal RNA", at positions 523 to 918 of the family's 1533-position model. The record is from RNAcentral.